GGAUGAACGCUGACAGAAUGCUUAACACAUGCAAGUCAACUUGAACUUCGGUUUGGGUGGCGGACGGGUGAGUAACGCGUAAAGAACUUGCCUCACAGAUAGGGACAACAUUUGGAAACGAAUGCUAAUACCUGAUAUUAUGAUUUUAGGGCAUCCUAGGAUUAUGAAAGCUAUAUGCGCUGUGAGAGAGCUUUGCGUCCCAUUAGCUAGUUGGAGAGGUAACGGCUCACCAAGGCGAUGAUGGGUAGCCGGCCUGAGAGGGUGAUCGGCCACAAGGGGACUGAGACACGGCCCUUACUCCUACGGGAGGCAGCAGUGGGGAAUAUUGGACAAUGGACCAAGAGUCUGAUCCAGCAAUUCUGUGUGCACGAUGAAGUUUUUCGGAAUGUAAAGUGCUUUCAGUUGGGAAGAAAAAAAUGACGGUACCAACAGAAGAAGUGACGGCUAAAUACGUG
Molecule: ribosomal RNA, 455 nt
Filed under: uncultured bacterium
Lineage: Bacteria
Description: partial 16S ribosomal RNA
Rfam family: Bacterial small subunit ribosomal RNA
Source: RNAcentral